UCGUGCAGCACUAGCAGUUGAAGCUGCCAGCAUGAUCUAAACUUUCCUUUUAGUUCAAAUAUAAUUCGAGGAAAGAUCAGAUCAUGUGGCAGCCUUACCUGUCAAUGCCAUCACGA
Non-coding RNA from Solanum lycopersicum (tomato), 116 nucleotides. Lineage: Eukaryota; Viridiplantae; Streptophyta; Magnoliopsida; Solanales; Solanaceae. The record is from RefSeq and is marked provisional.